GCGGGGCUUCAGAAAUGGGGGUACCACUGUACCAAGAUGUUGAAAUUGCGUUUGGAAAGACUCCCAGACUUGCUCGCUUAAGGAAAAUUUUUCAAAUAUUGUGAGUAAAAAAGCGUUUUUAAAGCGUAUGAGUUGGUCAUGUCCAAAUAAUUUAGCGCCUUUUUGAACUGGAAUUUCUAAUGGAACUGAGAGCUAACCAGCUUAAACAAAUACUAUGUUGUGGCAUGGAAUUGGAAAUAUUGGCAGUUAGCCAGUUACCUACUACAUAGUUGAUAUGAGUUUGUCCAAAUGCUUUCUGAAACCUCAGGAAAAAUCUGUAAAGCCGCUACGUAUAACAUCAUGACCAAAGUUUUCUCUUCAGAUCUUGCAAAGCAAUAUAGCUAUCAUGGCUUACACACGCAAACAUUGACUUGACUUCGAAUAUCACUGUGGUGAACUAGUCAGUGAUGAUAUCCAGAAUUGGAGUUGCGCACACUUGCUUACUAUGGCUUUGCUUUCAUGGAACCAUAAAAUGCACACUGCUUUUCCCUGUAUCUUAGCCAUUUGCUGGCUGAGUCAACUAGUGUAUUUUCCCAAGAAUUCCUGUCACGCCAUAGACCAGCUUAUGUGAACAAAAUUUAAUGUGAAAAAUUGUGUCGUAUAAAACUGUUUGAUGUUGUCUUUCCAAAAGAAAAAAAGAAGUAUGAACAUCAAUUAAUAUUUCAUCUAAGCAUGAAAUGUGCUCAAUACUUUCGGCCCCUGAAUGUAGAAUUUUGAUGACCUAGAUGGAUUAUCCUUCUAUUAACGUGACUUGAGGUAAGAUCUAACGAUCAUAUGCUGCAGGUAACAAGAUGGUCGCUUUUUUAUGGUAUGUUGAACCAUUGAACUUACUGGAAGCGCUUCUCUUUGCUCCCUAAAUGGCACACAAAAUUCAGAAAGUUAUCAAAAAACUCUGGAUGAGCAUUUUUGCUGUUUGGUGAACUCAUAGGUGUUUCCAUUUGAAUCUUUCAGCAAGACAACACAUCGAUCGACACUUCUCAUUGCACAAAAGAAUAGUUUACUUCUCAGAAUAUCACUAUGGUGAACUAGGUAGUACUCGACUCCAAUCAGAUUUCAAUCCAUAGAGAAUAUCUAGGAAUCCUUUCACCUGACUUCUGUAAGAAUGGAAGGCAGUGUUAUUCAGUGUUCAGUGCAUGAGUUCAAAUCAGCAGUUAAGAAACCUAGCGCAGAUAUACUCCCAAAACUUUCCAUAAUCUUGCAUUAUCAAUGGAAAAUCACAUUUUGUCAGGGGCAAUGGUUAGUAUCAUGACAGUUUAUUCAGGUGAUUUUCUGCUAUUUUAGUCUGCUUAGCAACUGAACAAUUGAUAAUAGGAACUGAUGAUUUAACAUCUGUGUCUUUUCUCUAAAACUAAAAUGAGUUCUUUGAAUGUGACAAUAUUAGAAAGUAACAAUUUGCAUUCAUUUUGUACUAGGGUACUGCACUAUAACUUUCAUUCAUUGUUUAAAAAAUGCAUUUGUUUACCAAUUGUCAAAUAUGUAAAUUUGUUUACUAUUUGGUUGCCUAAAAUUACUCGACUGAACCAAAUAUUUGGUUUGCCUGCGGAAUAUGCGGUAUACUGAAUACCAACUGCAUAUUUGGUGCAUCUCUAAAUGUAACCGAUAUAGGUUAAUAAAG
This is a long non-coding RNA of Uloborus diversus, 1654 nucleotides long. RefSeq lists it as uncharacterized. The record is from RefSeq and is a predicted model, not a curated record. Lineage: Eukaryota; Metazoa; Arthropoda; Arachnida; Araneae; Uloboridae. The transcript is spliced from 3 exons.